Molecule: ribosomal RNA, 430 nt
Filed under: uncultured bacterium
Lineage: Bacteria
Description: bacterial SSU rRNA
Rfam family: Bacterial small subunit ribosomal RNA
Source: RNAcentral
GUGGGGAAUAUUGGACAAUGGGGGCAACCCUGAUCCAGCAAUACCGCGUGUGUGAAGAAGGCCUGAGGGUUGUAAAGCACUUUCAGUGGGGAGGAGAGACUCGUUGUUAAUAGCAACGAGAGGAGACGUUACCCACAGAAGAAGCACCGGCUAACUCUGUGCCAGCAGCCGCGGUAAUACAGAGGGUGCAAGCGUUAAUCGGAAUUACUGGGCGUAAAGCGCAUGUAGGUGGAUAAGUAAGUUGGAUGUGAAAUCCCCGGGCUCAACCUGGGUUUGUCAUUCAAAACUGCUUGACUAGAGUAUGGUAGAGGGAAGUGGAAUUUCAGGUGUAGCGGUGAAAUGCGUAGAUAUCUGAAGGAACACCAGUGGCGAAGGCGACUUCCUGGACUGAUACUGACACUGAGAUGCGAAAGCGUGGGGAGCGAACAGG